RNAcentral lists this ribosomal RNA (433 nucleotides) under uncultured bacterium. RNAcentral describes it as "partial 16S ribosomal RNA". It matches the Rfam family "Bacterial small subunit ribosomal RNA", at positions 29 to 507 of the family's 1533-position model. The record is from RNAcentral.
AACGAACGCUGGCGGCAUGCCUAACACAUGCAAGUCGAACGAGACCUUCGGGUCUAGUUGCGCACGUGUGCGUAACGCCUGGUAACCUGCCCUUAGGUUCCGUAUAACUCCCCGUAAGGUGUCCUCAUACCGGUUAAUGUCUUCGGACCAAAGAUUUAUCGCCUUUGGAUGGGCCCGCGUUGGAUUAGCUAGUUGGUAGGGUAAAAGCCUACCAAGGCGACGAUCCAUAGCUGGUCGGAGAGGAUGAUCAGCCACACUGGGACUGAGACACGGCCCAGACUCCGACGGGAGGCAGCAGUGGGGAAUAUUGGACAAUGGGCGAAAGUCUGAUACAGCAAUGCGGGGUGAGUGAUGAAGGGGUUAGGGUUGUAAAGCUCUUUGACACGGGAUGAGAAUGACAGUACCGGGAGAAUAAGCUCCGGCUAACUACGUG